RNAcentral lists this ribosomal RNA (425 nucleotides) under uncultured bacterium. RNAcentral's name for it is "bacterial SSU rRNA". It matches the Rfam family "Bacterial small subunit ribosomal RNA", at positions 28 to 507 of the family's 1533-position model. The record is from RNAcentral.
GAUUAACGUUGGCAGUGCGCCUAACACAUGCAAGUCGAGCGAUAUAGCGGCAGACGAGAGAGUAAUAGUAAGGAACUUACCCCCGAGUGAAGGAUAGCCAGCCGAAAGGUUGGGUAAUCCUGCAUAAUAUCGAAAGAUCAAAGCCUUCGGGCGCUUGGGGAGAGGCCUUACUCCUAUCAGCUUGUUGGUGAGGUAAUGGCUCACCAAGGCGAUGACGGGUAGCUGGUCUGAGAGGAUGAUCAGCCUCGAUGGGACUGAGACACGGCCCAUACUCCUACGGGAGGCAGCAGUUGGGGAUUUUGCACAAUGGAGGAAACUCUGAUGCAGCGACACUGCGUGAAGGAUGAAGGUUCUAGGAUCGUAAACUUCUUUUAUCAGGGAGUAAUCUUGAAAGUACCUGUGAAUAAGGACCGGCUAACUACGUG